RNAcentral lists this ribosomal RNA (479 nucleotides) under uncultured bacterium. RNAcentral describes it as "bacterial SSU rRNA". It matches the Rfam family "Bacterial small subunit ribosomal RNA", at positions 308 to 804 of the family's 1533-position model. The record is from RNAcentral.
CCACAUUGGAACUGAGACACGGUCCAGAUUCCUACGGGAGGCAGCAGUGGGGAAUAUUGCGCAAUGGGGGAAACCCUGACGCAGCAACGCCGCGUGAAUGAUGAAGGCCUUCGGGUUGUAAAGUUCUGUCUUCUGGGACGAUAAUGACGGUACCAGAGGAGGAAGCCACGGCUAACUACGUGCCAGCAGCCGCGGUAAUACGUAGGUGGCAAGCGUUGUCCGGAUUUACUGGGCGUAAAGGAUGCGUAGGCGGACAUUUAAGUCAGAUGUGAAAUACCCGAGCUUAACUUGGGUGCUGCAUUUGAAACUGGGUGUCUAGAGUGCAGGAGAGGUAAGUGGAAUUCCUAGUGUAGCGGUGAAAUGCGUAGAGAUUAGGAAGAACACCAGUGGCGAAGGCGACUUACUGGACUGUAACUGACGCUGAGGCAUGAAAGCGUGGGGAGCAAACAGGAUUAGAUACCCUGGUAGUCCACGCCGUA